GCUGAGGCCCCAGGAUGGGACCGCGGCCUAUCAGGUAGUAGGUGGGGUAACGGCCCACCUAGCCUACGACGGGUACGGGCCCUGAGAGGGGGAGCCCGGAGAUGGGCACUGAGACAAGGGUCUAGGCCCUAAGGGGCGCAGCAGGCGCGAAGAUUCCGCAAUGCCCGAAAGGGCGACGGAGUGAACCCGAGUGCCACCCGCUGAGGGUGGCUGUUCCCCUGUGUAAAAAGCAGGGGGCAGGAAGGGGAGGGCAAGGCUGGUGGCAGCCGCCGCGGUAAAACCAGCUCCCCGAGGGGUUCCCACGCAUACUGGGCCUAAAGCGUCCGUAGCCGGCCCUGUAAGUCUGCAGUUAAAUCCGCCUGUAGACAGGCGGGUUGCUGCAGAUACUGCAGGGCUAGGGAGCGGGAGGAGCCGGGGGUAUUCCCGGGGGAGCGGUAAAAUGCGUAGAUCCCGGGAGGACCACCAGUGGCGAAGGCGCCCGGCUUGAACGCGUCCGACGGUGAGGGACGAAAGCUGGGGGAGCAAACCGGAUUAGAUACCCGGGUAGUCCCAGCCGUAAACGAUGCCGGCUAGGUGCUGGCCAAGGUUUCGGCCUUGGCCAGUGUCGAAGCGAAGGCAUUAAGCCGGCCGCCUGAGGAGUACGGCCGCAAGGCUGAAACUUGAAGGAAUUGACGGGGGGGCACCACAAGGGGUGAAUGCCUGCGGCUUAAUUGGACUCAACGCCGGGAAUCUUACCGGGGGCGACAGCAGGAUGAAGGUCAGGCUGAAGACCUUACCAGACGCGCUGAGGGGUGGUGCAUGGCCGUCGCCAGCUCGUGCCGUGAGGUGUCCUGUUAAGUCAGGCAACGAGCGAGACCCGCCGCCCCUAGUUGCCAGCGGCCUCCUUCGGGAGGGACCGGGCAAACUAGGGGGACCGCCUCCGAAGAGGAGGAGGAAGGUGGGGGCUACGGCAGGUCAGUAUGCCCCUAACCCCCCGGGCCGCACGCGGGCUGCAAUGGGCGGGACAGCGGGAUG
Molecule: ribosomal RNA, 1014 nt
Filed under: uncultured korarchaeote
Lineage: Archaea; Thermoproteati; Thermoproteota
Description: bacterial SSU rRNA
Rfam family: Archaeal small subunit ribosomal RNA
Source: RNAcentral